CAGCAGCCACGGUAAUACGAAGGGUGCAAGCGUUACUCGGAAUUACUGGGCGUAAAGCGUGCGUAGGUGGUUGUUUAAGUCUGCUGUGAAAGCCCUGGGCUCAACCUGGGAAUUGCAGUGGAUACUGGGCAACUAGAGUAAGGUAGAGGAUAGUGGAAUUUCCGGUGUAGCAGUGAAAUGCGUAGAGAUCGGAAGGAACAUCUGUGGCGAAGGCGACUAUCUGGGCCAUUACUGACACUGAGGCACGAAAGCGUGGGGAGCAAACAGGAUUAGAUACCCGCGUAGUCCCUGUCUCUUAUAC
This 301-nucleotide ribosomal RNA is filed under the name uncultured bacterium. Its description in RNAcentral is "partial 16S ribosomal RNA". It matches the Rfam family "Bacterial small subunit ribosomal RNA", at positions 509 to 807 of the family's 1533-position model. The record is from RNAcentral.